UAUAUAUAUAUAUAUGCAGGAUUGUGGGUGAAUCUCCCAACAGCAACAGGUUAAGGAGUAGAUCUCAUAUGCAUAGAAGGAGGAGGAGAAAAAGGCAAGAAAUCCUCCACUUCAAAUGAGACUAGGGAGAUAUGUAAAAUGUGGGAACCAGUACAAAAUUGUGUAGAAAACACCACCUGAAUAAGGCUGUAGUGUAGCAGUGUACACAAUGCAUCUGUUCAAUGACAAUGCAAUGUCACAUUUCCAUGAAAUCCUCAAAAGGAGUCAAAAGCAAGCAUCAUUGAGUAGGUUCCUUGUUAAAGUUGCAUGAAAAAGAAGAGAAGCAAUUCCAUCGAGCCAACAGACAGCAGUGAUUGUUAGUAACGGUGCAAGUCGUCCUGCACAGUGACCCUCUUCUCUCUUGUCUCUUCACACCAGCCAUGAAGGUUUUCAAAGGCCCUCUGCAUGGCUCUUCUCUGGCUGCCUAGAACAAGCGCUUCCUGUCCUCCAAAGAGCCAGCCCAGAACAUCAGGAACCUGGAUAAGAUGCCCAACCCAGUAACAAGAACAAAACUAUGAAAACCAACAAGAAUGCUCACUAACCCAGGACGAGCUGUUUGCUGAAAGAUGGAUCCUUUGCCUUGGCCUCAUCUCUUCUCAAGUUUUCCUUCACAGGACCCUCCCCUGCGCACCGUCUUGUCAGCAGCUCUGGGUGACACAAGCCAUUUCUAGGUAGCCUGGGAACUAGGGGCAGAAUCUGUGCCCUGGGAAGCUGUCUUUGGAGGCUGAGGUGGCUGCUCACACUCUCCCCGGCCCUCUGCUAGUUUACUUUUGCCACCAACCUCCAGGGAAGACCAGGGCUUUCUCCUGGGCUCCAGACUCCGGGGAAGCCACUGCCUGCACCUGGGCCUCGGGUCAACCCCUCCUGGAAGAAGACCCAUCUCAUAGCACCUGCGACCCGAAGUUCCCUAGACUCUGCCCACAAAGUCCCCAGCGGCGAGGCCACCCGGCCCUGCUGACCCCGGGCAGCGCCUCCGAGCUGCAUCUGCUCUCCGUGUUGCUGCACUCUCUGCUCUGCCAGCUCCGCCCGCAUUCAUCACCUGCUGCCCCAGCUAUCUGAAUUCAGACUUGUGCUGAAAUCCC
Long non-coding RNA from Heterocephalus glaber (naked mole-rat), 1121 nucleotides. Lineage: Eukaryota; Metazoa; Chordata; Mammalia; Rodentia; Bathyergidae. The record is from Ensembl.